UACGUAGGUGGCAAGCGUUGUCCGGAUUUAUUGGGUUUAAAGGGUGCGUAGGCGGCAUUUUAAGUCAGUGGUGAAAUACUUCAGCUUAACUGGAGAGGUGCCAUUGAUACUGGGAUGCUUGAGUACUGAUGAGGUAGGCGGAAUGGACGGUGUAGCGGUGAAAUGCUUAGAUAUCUGGAGGAACACCGGUGGCGAAGGCGGCAUCCUGGACCGACACUGACGCUGAGGAGCGAAAGCCAGGGGAGCAAACGGG
This 253-nucleotide ribosomal RNA is filed under the name uncultured bacterium. Its description in RNAcentral is "partial 16S ribosomal RNA". It matches the Rfam family "Bacterial small subunit ribosomal RNA", at positions 524 to 776 of the family's 1533-position model. The record is from RNAcentral.